GUAUCAGUAGUAUAAGUAAUUAUUUUGUCUUUCCAUGUCAAGGAUUCACUAGGGUGGCUGAUGCA
This 65-nucleotide transfer RNA is filed under the name Azygia robusta. RNAcentral describes it as "tRNA-Gly". Lineage: Eukaryota; Metazoa; Platyhelminthes; Trematoda; Azygiida; Azygiidae. The record is from RNAcentral.